CACGCAAGCUGCCAUACUCAGACCGAGAAUCCCAAAAUCGCCAAGGGACCCAUCCUGGAUCAUCAGCAGCUGCCGCCUGGCUGGCCGCCUGCAGAAGAGCCGCCUCCGGUACUCCUGCGAGGCCCUCGGUAAAAGCGUGAGCACCACGAUCACAUCUCAGGACGCUGCACACUUUAGGGUCGCCCACAGACCGCCAUUGCCAAUGCCUGGAAGGCACUGAACGGGCCCUCCUGCUCUUUGUAAAUGUCACCUCUCGUAAGCUAUGUUGUGUUGAAAAUUUUUAACUGCAGUCCACACAUACUUCUUUGUUUCUGUCUUGUUUUUAUCCUAGAGGCAUAUUAUUAUGGAAAAUUAAGUUUGCAAGUGUGAAGGGUUUUCUGAAAAUCGACUUCUAAUCCUGGAAGGACCAAAAAAAAAAAAAAAAAACUGCCAGAUGUGGUGCUCACGCCUGUAA
Molecule: non-coding RNA, 454 nt
Organism: Chlorocebus sabaeus (green monkey)
Lineage: Eukaryota; Metazoa; Chordata; Mammalia; Primates; Cercopithecidae
Source: RefSeq, a predicted model, not a curated record